CUACGGGCUGCUCCAGUGGGGAAUAUUGCACAAUGGGCGCAAGCCUGAUGCAGCCAUGCCGCGUGUAUGAAGAAGGCCUUCGGGUUGUAAAGUACUUUCAGCGGGGAGGAAGGGAGUAAAGUUAAUACCUUUGCUCAUUGACGUUACCCGCAGAAGAAGCACCGGCUAACUCCGUGCCAGCAGCCGCGGUAAUACGGAGGGUGCAAGCGUUAAUCGGAAUUACUGGGCGGUAAAGCGCACGCAGGCGGUUUGUUAAGUCAGAUGUGAAAUCCCCGGGCUCAACCUGGGAACUGCAUCUGUAACGGGAAGGCUGAGUUUUGGUGGAGGGGGGUAGAUUUCCAGUGUUGCGGUGAAAUUGCGUGGGGUGCUGAGGGAAUACCGGUGCGGAGGCCGGCCCCCUGGACGAAGCCGACGCCUCAGGUCGGAAGCCUUGGGGACAAACCGGGUUUAAAACCCCCGUAGUC
RNAcentral lists this ribosomal RNA (464 nucleotides) under uncultured bacterium. RNAcentral describes it as "partial 16S ribosomal RNA". It matches the Rfam family "Bacterial small subunit ribosomal RNA", at positions 339 to 795 of the family's 1533-position model. The record is from RNAcentral.